GACGAACGCUGGCGGCGUGCUUAACACAUGCAAGUCGAACGGAAAGGCCCUGCUUUUGUGGGGUGCUCGAGUGGCGAACGGGGGAGUAACACGUGAGUAACCUGCCCUUGACUUUGGGAUAACUUCAGGAAACUGGGGCUAAUACCGGAUAGGAGCUCCUGCUGCAUGGUGGGGGUUGGAAAGUUUCGGCCGUUGGGGAUGGACUCGCGGCUUAUCAGCUUGUUGGUGGGGUAGUGGCUUACCAAGGCUUUGACGGGUAGCCCGCCUGAGAGGGUGACCGGCCACAUUGGGCCUGCGAUACGGCCCAGACUCCUACGGUAGGCAGCAGUCGGGAAUCUUGCACAGUGGUCGGAAGCCUGAUGCAGCAACGCCGCGUGCGUGAUGACGGCCUUCGGGUUGUAAACCGCUUUCGCCUGUGACGAAGCUUGAGUGACGGUAAUGGGUAAAGAAGCACCGGCUAACUACGUG
RNAcentral lists this ribosomal RNA (468 nucleotides) under uncultured bacterium. RNAcentral's name for it is "partial 16S ribosomal RNA". It matches the Rfam family "Bacterial small subunit ribosomal RNA", at positions 28 to 507 of the family's 1533-position model. The record is from RNAcentral.